AUUGAACGCUGGCGGCAUGCCUUACACAUGCAAGUCGAACGGCAGCACGGGUGCUUGCACCUGGUGGCGAGUGGCGAACGGGUGAGUAAUACAUCGGAACAUGUCCUGUAGUGGGGGAUAGCCCGGCGAAAGCCGGAUUAAUACCGCAUACGAUCUACGGAUGAAAGCGGGGGACCUUCGGGCCUCGCGCUAUAGGGUUGGCCGAUGGCUGAUUAGCUAGUUGGUGGGGUAAAGGCCUACCAAGGCGACGAUCAGUAGUUGGUCUGAGAGGACGACCAGCCACACUGGGACUGAGACACGGCCCAGACUCCUACGGGAGGCAGCAGUGGGGAAUUUUGGACAAUGGGCGAAAGCCUGAUCCAGCAAUGCCGCGUGUGUGAAGAAGGCCUUCGGGUUGUAAAGCACUUUUGUCCGGAAAGAAAUCCUUGGCUCUAAUACAGUCGGGGGAUGACGGUACCGGAAGAAUAAGCACCGGCUAACUACGUG
This 486-nucleotide ribosomal RNA is filed under the name uncultured bacterium. RNAcentral describes it as "partial 16S ribosomal RNA". It matches the Rfam family "Bacterial small subunit ribosomal RNA", at positions 30 to 507 of the family's 1533-position model. The record is from RNAcentral.